This is a long non-coding RNA of Larimichthys crocea (large yellow croaker), 1314 nucleotides long. RefSeq lists it as uncharacterized. The transcript has 3 exons. NCBI's taxonomy places the organism in Eukaryota, Metazoa, Chordata, Actinopteri, Sciaenidae. The record is from RefSeq and is a predicted model, not a curated record.
UGCAGCUGAACACUCUCAGGGUGGAUAAUGGAGGACCCAAGAGGCUAAAGCCAGGUCUGACAAAGUAUGCCUGUUGUCUCACACUGGACCCGGACACAGCCGAUAUCGACCUCAUUCUGUCUAAAGACAACAAGAUGGUGACAGGGGCAAGAUGGCAAGAGCACCAGUCGAGUCAGCAGUUAGGAGUACUGUGUCGAAAUGGUCUGACCGGUCGCUGUUACUGGGAGGUCCAGUGGAAAGGAUGCGUUUCUAUAGGGGUGACCUACAGAGGAAUCAACAGGCAUGGCAGGGAUGCUGCUUGCUGGGUUGGAAACAAGUCCUGGAUGCUGCUCUGCUCUAAGGACAAGUACUCAGUCUUGUCCAAUAACAAAGCAGAGAAACAGCUUUGUCCCUGUUUGUCUCACAGAGUUGGAGUGUAUCUGGACUGGCCUGCUGGCAUUCUGUGCUUCCUCAUACAGUUCCGUAAAAGGGUAUUCCGCCUCCACACCUUCCACUGCACAUUCACUGAGCCAGUCUACCCUGAAUUCAGGUUCUUGGUUUCAAAUAGUGUGCGUGAGUGCUCGGUAUCUUUGUGUGAGCUGUAGAAACAAGAGUUACCUUAAUGCUAACCAACAAGUGCUGACAGAUAGAUAUGCACAGAGCAUCUAAACUGUUUAGCUACAUGUCACAGGAUAUUUUUCAUCUUUACAUCUUAAUAUAUCUUAUUUUUGUGGUAACAUGAAGUCCUGGAGUGAAGCAACAUAUUUAGCUAUAAGAAAAUCUGAUGGGUCAAGGACGUAGAUAUAUAAUCAGCAAGAUAGAGCCUAUUCAGUCUAAUGAGAACACCUCGUCUGGCACAUGCGCCAACGAUGGAUCAAAGACUUUACGUUUUGACAAUGUCACAGAUUUCUACAUCACUCACUCUCAGCUUGAGGAAAGUUUUAUGAAUACACAACCUCAAUGAUUGACAUUGUUUGCAGCAGUUGUGUCCCGUCAACGGUUUUUACACGUCUUUUUUAACUAGUUCUAAUAUAUAUAUGCAGAAUACUGAUGACUAAAACAGACUUUGUUAGAGAAAUGCAGAUUUCUAUUUGCCUUUGGUCGGUCGUGUUCGUAAGAGUUACUGUUACGUACAACUCUGUUGCUGGUUUGUUUUGUUGAUUUGAUUGUUCAGUUUGCAGAUUACAAAUAUCUCAUGCUCUCUUUCUUUCUUUGUUGUCCUUCACUCAGAGUUCAUCGUCUUUUCUCUUUGUUAGUUUAGUCAGUUUACAUUCAUUUUUGGGUGGCAGAGUGAAGAGUUGAUGAGACAAAGUGCACGGUGAUGUUUCCCCGUGC